RNAcentral lists this non-coding RNA (31 nucleotides) under Rattus norvegicus (Norway rat). Lineage: Eukaryota; Metazoa; Chordata; Mammalia; Rodentia; Muridae. The record is from RNAcentral.
UNGCCUUUAACACUUGGACUUUUGGGGUCAC